This 500-nucleotide ribosomal RNA is filed under the name uncultured bacterium. RNAcentral describes it as "bacterial SSU rRNA". It matches the Rfam family "Bacterial small subunit ribosomal RNA", at positions 28 to 521 of the family's 1533-position model. The record is from RNAcentral.
GAUGAACGCUAGCUACAGGCUUAACACAUGCAAGUCGAGGGGCAGCACGGUGUAGCAAUACACGGGUGGCGACCGGCGCACGGGUGCGUAACGCGUAUCCAACUUUCCCGUUACUCUCGGAUAGCCUUCCGAAAGGGAGAUUAAUACGAGAUGGUGUUCAGUUUCCGCAUGUUUACUGAACUAAAGAUUCAUCGGUAACGGAUAGGGAUGCGUGACAUUAGAUAGUUGGCGGGGUAACGGCCCACCAAGUCUACGAUGUCUAGGGGUUCUGAGAGGAAGGUCCCCCACACUGCAACUGAGACACGGUCCAGACUCCUACGGGAGGCAGCAGUGAGGAAUAUUGGUCAAUGGUCGGAAGACUGAACCAGCCAAGUAGCGUGAAGGAUGAAGGUUCUAUGGAUUGUAAACUUCUUUUAUACGGGAAUAAAGCCCACUACGUGUAGUGUUUGUAUGUACCGUAUGAAUAAGCAUCGGCUAAACUCCGUGCCAGCAGCCGCGGU